This 2301-nucleotide long non-coding RNA is filed under the name Gossypium raimondii (Peruvian cotton). Its description in RNAcentral is "long non-coding RNA (GRAI_LNC006091)". Lineage: Eukaryota; Viridiplantae; Streptophyta; Magnoliopsida; Malvales; Malvaceae. The record is from RNAcentral.
CCUACGUGCAUAUAUAAGCAAAAUUAUAAUUAUUAAUAUUUACACAAGACAAACUUUGAUUAAAUCCACACAAACCCUAUACAUGCCAUAUAAACUGUAUUGAACGUACAAAAACUACCGGAAUAGACUAGAUAGUGUAACUUGAUGUGCUGAUCCGAUCUUCUAACCUCACGAAAAUCUACAAAGACAUUAAAUCACACAAGUAAGCUUAAUGAAGCUUAGUAAGUUCGAUGGGUUAAACAUAAAUCUUACUGAACCUACUAUAACACAUUAAUUAAAUAAAUUCAUUUAAUGUAAACUCCCUGCCAAUCACAACUUCAAUCGAUGAAUGCACUUAUUUUAAGUCAAUACCAAUAACAACCAAUAUGUCUUUUAAUUUCAAUUACAUAGUCACUUACCAAAUCUUCCCAAAUCGGAGAACGGCUUACGGAUAAGAGUAUAUCAUUUUCAGAAGCCCAAAGGCUGAACAGAAUUUCGUAAGAGCUAAAUAGAAACCCAUAAGAGUUGAACAGAAGCUUGUAAGAGCUGAAUGGAAACUCAUAUGAGUUAAACGGAAGCUCAUAAGAGCUGAACAGAAGCUCAAAAGAGCUAAACGGAAACUCAUAUGAGUUAAACAGAAGCUCGUAAGAGCUAAACGGAAAGUAAAACAUGAGAGUUCGAAAAAAAAUACUGAACCUUGAUUUACUUGGGUAAUUUGUUGUCAUUUUCCUCCAAUUUUGUCAAUUCGCCAAAUCACAAAUGUACUCAAAUCUCGCGUUCAAUCCAAACUGAGUAUUAAUUUCGAUAAUAUUUUUCCAACGACAAUUCAAUUCCAACAACAUAACAUAUAUAUUACCAAUCAUCAAUUUAAUAUAAAUAUUAAAGUUUAACCAUACAAACUUACCUGGGUUAAAUUGUAAUAUUUGCAGGAGUUCAGAGAUUAUUCCGCUAAUUUUCUUUUUUCACGAAUAUCUACGGGAUUUUGAUCUAAAAUAUAAAAUUACUCAUUCAUUAGCAUAUAUUUCAGUUCCAAUCCACUUCACAAUUAAUACCCCUCAAUUUUUCUAAUUUACACAAUUACCCCAACUUUUACAACUUUUGCAAUUUAGUCCCUUAACUAAUUAGUCUAUCAAAUGAACUAAUAUUUCUUAAUUGAUAAUUUAUCUCAAUAUUAUAGGCUAUCAUACAACCCUUGAUAAACAUAAAUUUAAUACCAAACCCUAAUAUUUAACCUUUUCACAAUUUGGUCCUAAAAUCAACAUCUAACAAAAUCACUUUAUAAAAACAUCAUGCAACUAAAUUAAAGCUCUAAAUCCAUGUUAUUUCAUUAAAAAAAUCCAGUAUUCAUCAGUGGAAACUUUCAAAAUUCUCAAUAAAAUCAAAAACUAAGGCAAUAGUUAGUUGGACCUAAUUGUAAAAGUCUCAAAAGCAUAAAAAUUUCAAGAAAAAAGGCAAGAAUAAACUCACUUGAAGUAAAAAUAUUAAAAAAAACAGCUUAAGGAGCUCUCCUAAGGCUGUUUUUUGCUGAGAAUUGAAGAAGAAUUUGUCUAGACACCUUUAAUAUUUCAAUUUGUAGUUUUAAUUUUACUUUAUUUACUAUUUUGUCAUUAAAUUGGCUUUUUUUUUAUUUUCACUACUUAUGCCGCCUCAGCCAUUUCAUUUUGGCUUAUUUACUCUUUAAGUCCUCCCUAUUUACCAUUUAAGCCAUUUAAUCACUAUUUCUUUUAAUUAACAAGUUUUACACCUUUUUUAAUUUAGUCCUUUGUAAUUAAUUAACUAUCAAAACGUUAAAAUUUUCUCACAAAGCUUUAAUACUACCUUAAUGACACUCCGUAAAUAUUUAUAAAAAUAUUUACGACUUAGUUUAUAGAAACGAGGUCUCGAUACCUCAUUUUCUAAAACCACUUGACCUAAGAUUUUGUUGCUUGAGCCUAAUAAUUCAUUACAAACUUAAAUUACUAAUUCAAAAAUAUUUCUAAAACCAUGUUUGACUCGUAAAUACUAAAAAAUAAAAUUUACAAGCUUACUUGUUGGAUUUGGUGGUCUCGAACCAUUGUUUCCGACACCACUAAAAAUCGAGUUGUUACAUUGAUGGUGGAGAUAUCAUCCUUUUAAUUCUUCUCCUUUCCUUUGUUAGACUUUGUCAAUAGACCUACCGUUGAUGCAAAGAAAACACGACACGGGCAAAAGUAGAGAAAAUUCAAGCAAUGAUAGAUAAUGAAAUAAAAACUUAUAAAAAAAAAAGGACUUUGAUGAACUUGAAAGACAAAAGGAACAAGUUGGAAAAUAAGAACACUUGGAAAUGUAGACACUUAAGAAAAU